AUUGAACGCUGGCGGCAGGCCUAACACAUGCAAGUCGAGCGAGCGGCGGACGGGUGAGUAAUGUAUGGGGACUGCCCGAUAGCGGGGGAUAACUACUGGAAACGGUAGCUAAUACCGCAUACUAUCGGAUAACCCAUAUGGGAUUAGCUAGUAGGUGAGGUAAUGGCUCACCUAGGCUACGAUCCCUAGCUGGUCUGAGAGGAUGAUCAGCAACACUGGGACUGAGACACGUCACCGACUCCUACGGAGGCAGCAGGUGGGAAUAUUGCACAAUGGGGACAAGCCUGCUGCAGCCAUGCCGCGUGUAUGAAGAAGGCCCUAGGGUUGUAAAGUACUUUCAGUGGGGAGGCGAUACCGACAGAAGAAGCACCGGCUAACUCCGUGCCAGCAGCCGCGGUACUUC
This 403-nucleotide ribosomal RNA is filed under the name uncultured bacterium. Its description in RNAcentral is "partial 16S ribosomal RNA". It matches the Rfam family "Bacterial small subunit ribosomal RNA", at positions 30 to 526 of the family's 1533-position model. The record is from RNAcentral.